GAAGCGACGCCGCGUGUGGGAAGAAGGCCUUCGGGUUGUAAACCACUGUCGGGAGUUAGGAAAUGCAGGUGCGUUAAUAGCGCACUUGCUUGACUAAGGCUCCCGAGGAAGCCACGGCUAACUCUGUGCCAGCAGCCGCGGUAAUACAGAGGCGGCAAGCGUUGUUCGGAAUUAUUGGGCGUAAAGAGCACGUAGGCGGCCUUGCAAGUCAGUUGUGAAAGCCUUCCGCUUAACGGAAGAACGGCAUCUGAUACUACAGGGCUUGAGUACGGGAGGGGAGAGUGGAACUUCUGGUGGAGCGGUGAAAUGCGUGGAUAUCAGAAGGAACGCCGGCGGCCAAAGCGACUCUCUGGUCCGAAACUGACGC
This 367-nucleotide ribosomal RNA is filed under the name uncultured Planctomycetota bacterium. RNAcentral's name for it is "bacterial SSU rRNA". It matches the Rfam family "Bacterial small subunit ribosomal RNA", at positions 388 to 746 of the family's 1533-position model. The record is from RNAcentral. Lineage: Bacteria; Pseudomonadati; Planctomycetota.